AAGGACGAGCGGAUCUUCAUUAGCUUGCUUUUGAAGAUCAGCGGCGGACGGGUGAGUAACACGUGGGCAACCUGCCUGUAAGACUGGGAUAACUUCGGGAAACCGGAGCUAAUACCGGAUAAUCCUUUCCCUCACAUGAGGGAAAGCUGAAAGACGGUUUCGGCUGUCACUUACAGAUGGGCCCGCGGCGCAUUAGCUAGUUGGUGAGGUAACGGCUCACCAAGGCAACGAUGCGUAGCCGACCUGAGAGGGUGAUCGGCCACACUGGGACUGAGACACGGCCCAGACUCCUACGGGAGGCAGCAGUAGGGAAUCUUCCGCAAUGGACGAAAGUCUGACGGAGCAACGCCGCGUGAACGAUGAAGGCUUUCGGGUCGUAAAGUUCUGUUGUUAGGGAAGAACAAGUACCGGAGUAACUGCCGGUACCUUGACGGUACCUAACCAGAAAGCCACGGCUAACUACGUGCCAGCAGCCGCGGUAAUACGUAGGUGGCAAGCGUUGUCCGGAAUUAUUGGGCGUAAAGCGCGCGCAGGCGGUUCCUUAAGUCUGAUGUGAAAGCCCCCGGCUCAACCGGGGAGGGUCAUUGGAAACUGGGGAACUUGAGUGCAGAAGAGGAGAGCGGAAUUCCACGUGUAGCGGUGAAAUGCGUAGAGAUGUGGAGGAACACCAGUGGCGAAGGCGGCUCUCUGGUCUGUAACUGACGCUGAGGCGCGAAAGCGUGGGGAGCGAACAGGAUUAGAUACCCUGGUAGUCCACGCCGUAAACGAUGAGUGCUAAGUGUUAGAGGGUUUCCGCCCUUUAGUGCUGCAGCAAACGCAUUAAGCACUCCGCCUGGGGAGUACGGCCGCAAGGCUGAAACUCAAAGGAAUUGACGGGGGCCCGCACAAGCGGUGGAGCAUGUGGUUUAAUUCGAAGCAACGCGAAGAACCUUACCAGGUCUUGACAUCCUCUGACAACCCUAGAGAUAGGGCGUUCCCCUUCGGGGGACAGAGUGACAGGUGGUGCAUGGUUGUCGUCAGCUCGUGUCGUGAAAUGUUGGGUUAAGUCCCGCAACGAGCGCAACCCUUGAUCUAGUUGCCAGCAUUCAGUUGGGCACUCUAAGGUGACUGCCGUGACAACCGGAGGAAGGGGGGAUGACGUCAAUCAUCAUGCCCUUAUGACUGGGCUACCCCGU
RNAcentral lists this ribosomal RNA (1175 nucleotides) under bacterium. Its description in RNAcentral is "bacterial SSU rRNA". It matches the Rfam family "Bacterial small subunit ribosomal RNA", at positions 59 to 1223 of the family's 1533-position model. The record is from RNAcentral.